RNAcentral lists this ribosomal RNA (496 nucleotides) under uncultured bacterium. RNAcentral describes it as "partial 16S ribosomal RNA". It matches the Rfam family "Bacterial small subunit ribosomal RNA", at positions 29 to 507 of the family's 1533-position model. The record is from RNAcentral.
AUGAACGCUGGCGGCGUGCCUCAUACCUGCCAGUCGAGCGCACAGACGAGGAGCUUGCUCCUCUGACGUUAGCGGCGGACGGGUGAGUAACACGUGGAUAACCUACCUAUAAGACUGGGAUAACUUCGGGAAACCGGAGCUAAUACCGGAUAAUAUAUUGAACCGCAUGGUUCAAUAGUGAAAGACGGUUUUGCUGUCACUUAUAGAUGGAUCCGCGCCGCAUUAGCUAGUUGGUAAGGUAACGGCUUACCAAGGCAACGAUGCGUAGCCGACCUGAGAGGGUGAUCGGCCACACUGGGACUGAGACACGGUCCAGACUCCUACGGGAGGCAGCAGUAGGGAAUCUUCCGCAAUGGGCGAAAGCCUGACGGAGCAACGCCGCGUGAGUGAUGAAGGUCUUCGGAUCGUAAAACUCUGUUAUUAGGGAAGAACAAAUGUGUAAGUAACUAUGCACGUCUUGACGGUACCUAAUCAGAAAGCCACGGCUAACUACGUG